RNAcentral lists this ribosomal RNA (809 nucleotides) under uncultured bacterium. RNAcentral describes it as "bacterial SSU rRNA". It matches the Rfam family "Bacterial small subunit ribosomal RNA", at positions 8 to 830 of the family's 1533-position model. The record is from RNAcentral.
AGAGUUUGAUCCUGGCUCAUGAUGAACGCUGGCGGCGUGCCUAAUACAUGCAAGUCGAGCGAACCACUUCGGUGGUGAGCGGCGAACGGGUGAGUAACACGUAGGUUAUCUGCCCAUCAGACGGGGACAACGAUUGGAAACGAUCGCUAAUACCGGAUAGGACGAAAGUUUAAAGGUGCUUCGGCACCACUGAUGGAUGAGCCUGCGGCGCAUUAGCUAGUUGGUAGGGUAAAGGCCUACCAAGGCGACGAUGCGUAGCCGACCUGAGAGGGUGAACGGCCACACUGGGACUGAGACACGGCCCAGACUCCUACGGGAGGCAGCAGUAGGGAAUCUUCGGCAAUGGGCGAAAGCCUGACCGAGCAACGCCGCGUGAAUGAUGAAGGCCUUCGGGUUGUAAAAUUCUGUUAUAAGGGAAGAAUGGCUCUAGUAGGAAAUGGCUAGAGUGUGACGGUACCUUAUGAGAAAGCCACGGCUAACUACGUGCCAGCAGCCGCGGUAAUACGUAGGUGGCGAGCGUUAUCCGGAAUUAUUGGGCGUAAAGAGCGCGCAGGUGGUUGAUUAAGUCUGAUGUGAAAGCCCACGGCUUAACCGUGGAGGGUCAUUGGAAACUGGUCAACUUGAGUGCAGAAGAGGGAAGUGGAAUUCCAUGUGUAGCGGUGAAAUGCGUAGAGAUAUGGAGGAACACCAGUGGCGAAGGCGGCUUCCUGGUCUGUAACUGACACUGAGGCGCGAAAGCGUGGGGAGCAAACAGGAUUAGAUACCCUGGUAGUCCACGCCGUAAACGAUGAGUGCUAAGUGUUGGGGGU